GAUGAACGCUGGCGGCGUGCUUAACACAUGCAAGUCGAACGGAAAGGCCAGUGCUUGCGCUGGUACUCGAGUGGCGAACGGGUGAGUAACACGUGGGUGAUCUGCCCUGCACUUCGGGAUAAGCCUGGGAAACUGGGUCUAAUACCGGAUAGGACAAUGGUUUGGAUGCCGUUGUGGAAAGUUUUUUCGGUGUUGGAUGAGCUCGGGGCCUAUCAGCUUGUGGGUGGUGUAUUGGCCUACCAAGUCGUCGACGGGUAGCCGGCCUGAGAGGGGGUACGGCGACAUUGGAAAUGGGAAACGGCCCAGACUCCUACGGGAGGCGGGAGUGGGGAAUAUGGAAUAAUGGGCGCAAGGCGGAAGCAGCGACGAGGAGUGCGGGGUGAGGGCCGUAGGGUUGUAGAUUCCUAUCGUUAGUGACGAGGCGUAUUUGUGACGGUACCUGGAGAAGAAGCACCGGCUAACUACGUG
Molecule: ribosomal RNA, 468 nt
Filed under: uncultured bacterium
Lineage: Bacteria
Description: partial 16S ribosomal RNA
Rfam family: Bacterial small subunit ribosomal RNA
Source: RNAcentral